RNAcentral lists this ribosomal RNA (511 nucleotides) under uncultured bacterium. Its description in RNAcentral is "bacterial SSU rRNA". It matches the Rfam family "Bacterial small subunit ribosomal RNA", at positions 9 to 514 of the family's 1533-position model. The record is from RNAcentral.
GAGUUUGAUCAUGGCUCAGAUUGAACGCUGGCGGCAGGCCUAACACAUGCAAGUCGGGCGGUAGAGAGAAGCUUGCUUCUCUUGAGAGCGGCGGACGGGUGAGUAAUGCCUAGGAAUCUGCCUGGUAGUGGGGGAUAACGCUCGGAAACGGACGCUAAUACCGCAUACGUCCUACGGGAGAAAGCAGGGGACCUUCGGGCCUUGCGCUAUCAGAUGAGCCUAGGUCGGAUUAGCUAGUUGGUGAGGUAAUGGCUCACCAAGGCGACGAUCCGUAACUGGUCUGAGAGGAUGAUCAGUCACACUGGAACUGAGACACGGUCCAGACUCCUACGGGAGGCAGCAGUGGGGAAUAUUGGACAAUGGGCGAAAGCCUGAUCCAGCCAUGCCGCGUGUGUGAAGAAAGGUCUUCGGAUUGUAAAGCACUUUAAGUUGGGAGGAAGGGCAGUAAAUUAAUACUUUGCUGUUUUGACGUUACCGACAGAAUAAGCACCGGCUAACUCUGUGCCAGCCG